GACGAACCGUACGAACGUUAUUCGGAAUCACUGGGCUUAAAGGGUGCGUAGGCGGCGCGGAAAGUUGGGUGUGAAAUCCCUCGGCUCAACCGAGGAACUGCGCCCAAAACUGCCGUGCUCGAGGGAGAUAGAGGUGAGCGGAACUUAGGGUGGAGCGGUGAAAUGCGUUGAUAUCCUAAGGAACACCGGUGGCGAAAGCGGCUCACUGGAUCUCUUCUGACGCUGAGGCACGAAAGCUAGGGUAGCGAACGGG
Molecule: ribosomal RNA, 253 nt
Filed under: uncultured bacterium
Lineage: Bacteria
Description: partial 16S ribosomal RNA
Rfam family: Bacterial small subunit ribosomal RNA
Source: RNAcentral